This is an RNA transcript of Haplochromis burtoni (Burton's mouthbrooder), 6207 nucleotides long. It is a transcript of the gene named solute carrier family 39, member 11, with no coding region annotated. NCBI's taxonomy places the organism in Eukaryota, Metazoa, Chordata, Actinopteri, Cichliformes, Cichlidae. The record is from RefSeq and is a predicted model, not a curated record. The transcript has 4 exons.
GCUAAUAGAGUCAUAGACACGUGUACUAGGAAGUAGGAAGUAAAUACAGAGCACUCGGAGUGCUGCUGGAAAGAAGUCUGUCACUAUGCUAGAAGGCUACAGCCCUGUGACCCAGGCCCUGCUGGGGACUCUGUUCACAUGGGGUCUGACUGCUGCCGGAGCUGCUCUGGUGUUCAUCUUCUCCAGCCGACAGAAGCGCAUCUUGGAUGGAAGUUUAGGCUUUGCAGCUGGGGUAAUGCUGGCUGCUUCCUAUUGGUCACUGCUGGCCCCAGCCAUCGACAUGGCGGAGGAUUCUGGGAAGUACGGCUCAUUUGCUUUCGUGCCUGUGGCUGUAGGAUUUACACUGGGGGCCGCGUUUGUUUACUUCGCUGACCUUGCCAUGCCCUUCCUGGUAGGAACUCUGACACAUACAGUAUUCUAUGUUUCCUGGAGAGCACAAAAAAUACUCUUGUGGUGAUGUGAAUGUAGCAGGUGCCGAUCAGUUCUUAAUGUCUGCUUAUAUGUAUUCACGGUCACUUUUCAAAGACUUAUCACCACGCACGGGAGCAAGCUAUUGAUAAUUCAUGAGGGAAAGAAGAAGAAAUGGAGGACAUACUGUGGUGUGAAUGUGAAGAAUUGAGUUCCAUGCAGAAAUAAACAGAAAUACCCACUUAACCUAGAUAGGGCAUAUCUGAAUUUGAAACCUUGAGGACUAGGUCUGUGAGGUUAAUACAGAUGAAAUUUCUACAAGGGGCAUAGAGUAGCAUGGCAGUUUUCUUAUAAUUAAAGUAUUGAAAUUUAGUACAUGCAUACAGAUAUUCUAUGAUACAAUAGCAGAGAACAGAGCUUUCUACUCACGAAAAAGUUGAAUCUUGGCACAGAUUUGCCACCCAUCUUCCUUUGAGAGGUCUGCAGAAAUGCCUAAUGUUACCUGAGGCAACACAUACUUGUUAAAAGGACCAAGAUUGUGUUUUGUUCCACUUUGCCUGCACUGGUCUUUUGUGUUGUUUAGAUAAUAGCAUAAUUGCUGCUGAGAGCAACUGCUGGUUGAAGAAUAGAAAACAUGACAGAGAAAAUGAGUUUGGGCCAAAGCUAGUAGAAUGCAUCUCGGAGGAUUAAUCAAUAUAAAGUUCUUUGUUGCCUGCUUGGGAACUUUUGUAGAUGAUGGCUUUUGAAAUACUUCACUGUUUGCAUAUUGAUACGCUUUUUUUUGCCAAAGGCCAGCACACCUGUAAGCCUGAUAGACCCAAGAAAAGAGCUUGGGUAACGUAACCAUGAAAAACAAAUCAAAGCAAUGUCAUGGAACUGGUUCCAUUAAUGGAGACAUUACCCUCACAUUUAUUACAGUUUCUUUCAGACUAUGUUAUUUGCAUGCUUUUUUCCAUAGACAAUCAAAUUAUAAGCUUAUUUUUUCUCUUUUUUUUCCUACUUCUUUCAAUGGUAUAUAAAUGACUGACACCUCAGUCAAAACAAACUUUAAGCGAACUUUUAGGCUUAAUAAAACUCUAAAUGGGUAAAUAUAGAAAUGGGUAAUUUUAAAAUGGGAGCUUAAAUCAUUUUUGGAGCUAGCGUCAAGUUGUCAUUAAAGGAAUUGGAUUUUUUGGAGCUUUCAAUACUGGGAGUGCACUGAGCAUAGAUAGAGGAGGUAGAUAAAGAAGAGAUGCACACCAAUCAGCCACAACAUUAAACCACUGACCUGUGAAGUGAAUGAUAUUGAUCAUCUCGUUAAAAGCCAGUGUUCUGCUUGACAGCUUCGGGUUCUGGCAUUCAAGUGAUUAUCGCUUUGACAUGUACAGCCCACCUAAACAUUGGCAAGCACUAUCCCGCGUUGGAUCGACUCCCCCAGAUGGCAGUGGCCCCACCCGCGGCAGAUCCCAUCAUGCUUAAAACUGCUGGAGAACAACUCGAGAAACAUGGCAAAGGUGUUGACCCAGCCUAAUAACUGCCCAGAUUGCAGCUUGAAUGAGUGUCAGCAAGACAUUUGGAAACAGACUUGAUCCACUUGGCUAUUGUCUUUAUGCUUUAGUCUUCUUUUAGUCUUCGUCCCAAGAAGAAUAGAUUCACAGAAUAAGUUAGAUUCACACGAGUGCGACGUUUAGGACAGGAAAAGGUGUUCAAAUAACUUCAGUCCAACAGAUUUAUAAUGAUGGAAAGCUUAAUUCUGUAGCUGGUUUGUCAUUUAUUACUUUGUCAACUCAGCCUGUUUCUCAUCUUUCUUUAAAAGAAACAGAGAGAAUAUGAAUAUGUGUAAAACAUUGACAGAGAUCUGCAAACCUCUACAAAUUACAACAAAGCUGAUCUGUACAGCUGGACUUUUAUUAACGAUCCUUUAACCCUUUCCAAAAACGCCCAUGUCUUGUUAAUGCAGAUUUUUGCAAUCUCAAAUGAUACAAAAAACAGGUCUGAGCCUUCAGACAUGCGCCAGCACAGGAAUGUGGAGUGACAGUAGUGGAGUGGGGAGAUGUGGGAUGCGGCCACAACAGUCAGAGCAGCAGAGAACAGCUGUUGCCUUAAGCUCCUGCAGUCACACCAGGACAGAAGCAAUCACUUGAAUUACAUAUGAAGGAGUGCAUAACGUCGCUGUCAUGCACACUCAUAUAAGAUGACACGCACUCGCAUAAACACAGCGUACACGCAUAUCCCCGUGAGGAUGACGAACAGUGAAAGCGAGGGUGAUGAAAAGCAUGCGUUCAAAGAUUUGGUUGUGCGUCUUUGAUCAAAUCUACGAUGCACAUUUGAAAAUGUAGAAAACACACAAGGGUUGUAUUUUUAGGGUUUGAUAUUAAGACCAUCAGUUAAGUUCAGAUUUCAUAACCUUCAUUCAGUUAUCAGCAGAGUUGUGUCAUUGUGCAGGAUAAAGCUUGACUGUUGUUGCGUGGCGUAUUUGAACCUCAUAAUCCGAUAUUAAAACCUGGCAACUUGAUGUGAGGGAAAGGUAAUGAAGUUAGGGACCGUCUCAAUACUAAGAAAUCAGGGAAGAGUAAUAGGCUGUAUAUAAAUGAUAGACAUAGCCUCUGGGUUGGAAAAUGGAAGCCACUGUGGAAGCACCUUAAAAGGCUUCAAACCUUCAUUCUGUCAAACGGUGGAUUGUAUAAACGUCUACUGCAAAACAACCCAAAGCUCCCUUGAUCUAUGGCAUCAGUAUGUUUUCCUGAUGGGUUUUUGUCUUAAGAGAUAGCAUACCUUGUGAAUGAAAGGCCAAUACUAUUCUUCGCUUUCUAAGGGAGAUCCACCCUCCAGUUUAUGCUAAACCACUCAGGCUUCACGAGAGGAUUGUGGCCAAUUGGUGAUGUCAGCCAUCUUUCACAUACAGCCUGCAGAAUAAAUGAGGGACAUUAGAGAACAGUUUUUCUCAUUUUCUUGUUUGUGCAAAAAAAGAAAAAAUGCAAAUGGUCACGACAGGACAGUAGUAUAACAGGGUAGUAUAAAAAGGGUUUUUACUUUGAAAAUUGAGCAGUUAAAUGGCAGAUAUGACUGGACUUCCUGUUCUCCUCACCUGCUGUGUGCAGACUGACACAUUGUCCCAUUACUGCUACUGCAACUACUUUUAUUUUAGGAUCAUUUAACGGUGGUGAACGCUCCCAUCCUAAAUCAAAUGAGAUAAAUGUUUCUCCUCCUGGAGGAAAAAAAAUCAUUUCUAUACGACCAGGACAAAAAGCAAUCUACUGCUUGGGAGAAGAGAGAAAAAAGAAACGCCUAAUGUUAUAAUUUACUGCCUGUCUUUCACUCCAUCACUUCACCUCUUCGCAUUUCAGCAGGGGCUAAUUGGGCUGCUGACCUUCCUUUCCGUAAGCCACCCAUGCAGCAGUUUAAUACCUGUACUCCACUGGUAGUCUUAGUAAUAGGGCAGGAGAUAGCAAGUACAGCAAUGGGCAAACAAAAACAUUUCUCAGAGCUUCAGCAGGGACAUGUUUGUGAAAAGAGUUCAGAGCUGUAAAGACUUUUUAAUCUAUUGUAUUCUCAACACACCAUAACACACAGAGUACAUUUUAAACUGUAGAUAGCUAUCAACUAGACAACUCUUUUAUGCGCUUGGAAACAACAUGAAAUACAUCCUGGUGUUCUCCCAAGAACACUUUCAUAAUCUGGUCCUAUUUCCUGCUGUAAGACUUAUGAUACAUAUGUGUUCUGAGGUGGGCUCAUCAAACUCUUGACAACUUUACAAACCUGCUUGUGGAAAUGCAAAUCCCAGAGAUUUGUUAAAGCUUAAGCUUAAUUUAACACUUCCUAAUUACCAUGUAAGACGACCUGCUGUGCUCGAUUUGUGGGCGAGUUUUCCCUACAAACGUGGUCCCUAAUUUCACAUCAUUAAAUCCAGGAAAUUAGCAGGUGGAUACACAGCGUCCCUACCAGUGUUAGUAUGAGCGUCAAGGGACCCAAAAUAGAUAGAAAAUGGUUAGUCAUAGAACUAUAAAUACAAAAAAAAAACCCUUUUGCUAAAGCAAAGUGCUAGAUAAUUAGGUGGUGGGCAUUCAAAAAUCAGACACGGUGAGUGUUAUUUCACAUUUGACUGGAAUGGAAGACGGUGUUGAACAGCAGCUGUGAUGCUGCCUGUUCUUUUUUAACUUCAGGUUUUUUUGUCAAAUCUGGUCUAUCGGAAAACAGAUUAAAUAAAAAACCUGAGUGUUGAAACCUUCAGUAAGAUCUGGGGGAUCAUGAAUGCAGUGGUUGAGUGGUUGUUUUGGAUUAACUUGUCCUCUUAGAUGGUGGGGCACUGAUAACAAAUGGAAAGUUCUUCAGCGUGAUCACCGUUUGAUGAAACGUCUUGAUGCUGAUGGGACUUGUUUUCCAGAAUCCCAUUCACAGGGCAUGAAGGGUCAACGAGUGGUUUGAUGAGUAUGAAAAUGAUGUAACCCAUAUGCCCUGGCCUUUACACUCAUUAGAUUAGAUAGUGGACAGUUGACAGCAACUUUCCCUUUCAAUAAAUGAGGGAAUAUUUUUUGGAAGAAUGUUUUCAUUGAAUCCUUUUUUAAAACUAGAAUUUGAAACUAUUGAGAUUAAUAGUCUCUUUUGUGAGUGUCCUUCACCCAGAUGGGAAGCAGUAUGUAGUGUCAUAUUAGAUGUCAUUAACCCUCAUAAGACUGGCAACCUGCCUAGGAUGUACCCUGGCUUAUACCCUAUUGUAGCUGAGAAAGGCUCCAACCCUACGUAACCCUGAUAAGAAUAAGUGAAAGAGGAUGGAUGAUGGAGAAGAAACUGUAGCUGCCAGAGAAAAGAGCAUGCAGGUUCAAACCUAGAAUAGUACAAGUGAGCGUUCAUACUGCUUCUUUGCCUUGCUAAUUGUGUUUGAUAGUCUUAAGUGAUGAGGCAUUGAGUUGGCAGCAUGUGGUGGUCCAGUACCCUAAAACAUGUUUUUGAGUCUGUCAAACUGAAUAUUGUGAACAGUAUUGGUGUAAACUGCCCCACAUGCCUGGACUGUUAUGUCUUUAGCAAGUAAAGGUUUGGAGUUUCAGUCUGCAAGUGUUUAAAGCAAUGUUUUUUAGCAGUUUCUAGUAGUUAGCUCGACCAUCUGUCUUGCUGUUCCUGUUGUUCAAUCUUACUGUAAAAUGGACAGACUGCAGGAUCUUUGAAUGUCUUGGCAGUCAUUUGUCUUCUGUUGAUCUCAGCAUACAUAGAACCACAAGUGGACUUUUAUUACAUAUCCUUUUUGACUUUUGACAAAAUGUAGAAAUCAAUCAGAUUUUCAGUCAUUUAAAAGCGACACAAAGAGCCCCCAAGGAUCAAUGACUCAGCAUGACUCCUCUGAUAUGCUGUGUAGUCAAUGGCUUCAAAAGAUGACUAAGAGAGAGGCAAAGAUACUGCCUUGUAUCAAAUUUAUAUUUUAGUGUCAUUUAUACUAUGUGAUAGCCAAACGUUUCCUACAUCCAGUGUGUGAAAUGAUAUUUGUGACAGGUAAAUUACCGCCAGACUCUUAAGUGUUUUCCAGCUCACUGAUUUGCUUCUCUGUCUAGAUUUCAUAAGUGUUCUUUCCAGCCGCAGCAGACAAGUGAAGAGCUCCAUAAAAGCCAAUAUAUCCAAGAACCCAUAGUAAGUCCGUGUUGUAUGUAUCACCUGUUUGUGGUGCUCAGUAAGAGAGUAGGUCUGUUAAUGUAGGUUUGCAAUUCACACAAAAUAGUUUGUGAUUUAGAUAUGUCUGUGAAGGUUUCACCUCUCAUCCGAGAGAGGUGAAACGUCUUCAAGCAACUUAAAGAAGUCCAGAUGCUUUUCUUUGCAAGCUCCUUUGACUAC